AUCGUGAUAUGAAAAAAUCUUAUAUCGCCCAGCUCUAGUGAAUGUAAACUGAGUCAGAGUAAACCAGCAUGUAACCACUCGAUGGGACUGAUGUGUAAACAUAUGCUGCACAGCUGUGUGAAAAUUAACCUUCAGUGAUAGAAGACUGCUGUCAGUAGCACUGUUAACAUUAGCCUCACUCGGCACAUUAACUUGAUUAUCUGUACAAUGUUUUGCAUGGUUUGCCACACCAAAAUUUUAUCAACAUUUUUAAUGUGAUUAGGCUAUUGACAGAUGUGAUUGAUUUCAACAAGCCCUAUGAAGGGCUUGAAGCAUAAAAUGCAGAAAAUCUGCGAGACAUCAAGACAUUACUUUAUGUAGAUGUGUUUAAUAAACUCAUAAACAUAAAUACCAGCUUUUUUCUGUUUCAAAUUGUAAACAUGCUGAGGAAGCUUUUGUAUUAGUAGUUGUGGCCAAAUUGUUGUACUUCAAAUGGGUGGGGGAAAAAUAUAGCCGAUGUAAGUCUCCAACGAUGCACUUAACACUAAUCAGAAUUCAUAGCAUUCCCCGAAUGCUGGCAUAAUGUUUACUCAUCUCUAUAAUGUCUCAUUUUUUGCCAGAAGUAGGGCGUGUCAUGAAGACGACCAUUCUGCUCUUCUGUUUUGUGCUGUUUUAUCUGUUUAAUUAACCAGUCCUGACAAGUGUCUGUGGAGCUCAGUCUACAAUGUGUCAUUACUCCAUAAUGACAGAUGCUUAUUGCUGCACAACAACAGGAAUUUACGGUUAUGAAUCUACCGCCUUGUAUGAUAUGAAAUAAAAGGAGUAAUAUAAAAAAGGCAUUCUACUCCUGGCGUUCUGAGGAGACUUAGCUGUCAGGAGUAGAUUGAAUUGUAAUGAAACAGCUGCAGUGUGGUAGCGAUGGUGAAAAAGCAGAGCGUAGUAAGAUGUGUUAAUCCUGUUCAAAGAUGGUGGGUAUGCUGGCUGACUUUGAAGUCAGCUACGCUCGCUUCCAGCUCUGUAUUUUAUUCCUGGAUUGUGCUUGCUGUUCAGAAAAAAAUAUUUGUAUUCCUGUUAAAAGAUACCUGAGAGAAAUGGUCUGAAAUGCAAACAGAAGUGGAAGCCUUCUGCACUCAGGAAAUAUAGAAGUGCAUAAAAUAAUGACUGUGUUGCAUCUCUCUCAUCGUUGCUUUUAACUGCUUUUCUACAUACAUUUUUUUUAGCUGUUGUAAAACAGCUUAAACGACUUAGUGGGAUUACAGAGAGCAGCUUUAUAGCAGACUAUAGUCAUAAGCUGUUUGAUCUGAUUAUCCAUACAAGACAAACAUUUCAUUGAUAUAAUGUUAUUUACAUCUAGAGGUUCUGGCUCUUCAGCAGUGUAAUUUACAGAUGGGACUCCCCCCUCUGAGAGCAUUAGCCUAGCCCAAAAUCCGGCUUCAAAUUGGGCUGUGUUGUUUAGUCAUCUGUGAUGUUGUGAGAACAAACAUUUUGCCUUUUGGCUGUUGUUGUGGUGUCAACCAAAACAGAAAAUACUUGCAUACUACUUCCCUUCAGUUGACAUCAGCACAACGCAAAAGUAGAAAAAAUGUUGGAAACUGAGCUUUUAGAGCAGUCUCAAGCCGGAGCUUUUGGCUCACUGGGAUUAUUUAUGCAUCGAUAUAUUCGAUCGCAAUAUUUGAAAUCAAUAUUUGAGUGUUUGUUGUGUCGAUCUGUAAAUAUGAAGGGUUAAACAAGCCAUGUCAGUACUAGACAUGCAAAUAAAUUCUAAUUAAGUUUAGAAGGUAAUUGAUAAAAACAUUAAGCUACUUAGGUGCAUGUAAUGAAAUAAAGCCCUACAAAAUAUUUACUGUGAGUUGGGUAAAGCAUGAAAAACAUUUCUGUAUUGUAUUAAUCAGUUGCAUUUAGCUGGACUUUUCCCUUGCCUUUUAAUCAUUAUUAUAAUUGAUUACCUUCUUGAGCUAGCCGGAAACACUCAUCCCUGUUCUGCUUCGCUAUCAGUUAACAGUAAGCAGAAACAAUGAAUGUAGAGGGUUGAAUGAACAGACAGGUGAUGUGUUGUGUGUUGCUGCCUAUAGGUCACAGCAUGCUUAAACUUGUAGUUAUAUCCUUGUCCUUGAUUAAGUCCUUUGGCCUUUUCUUUGUAUCUCUCUCUCUUCAUAGAUCAAUACAAGAAAUCGGAGAAAUGAAGAUCAAGCAACAAAUUGAAGACGUUGUGGCUCCUCUCAAAGAAAAGAUUCGUGACCUGGAACAAAGUUUUUCUCAGAAAUACCCACCGGUGAAAUUCCUGUCAGAAAAGGAUCGUAAAAGAAUUUUGG
This is a long non-coding RNA of Haplochromis burtoni (Burton's mouthbrooder), 2291 nucleotides long. RefSeq lists it as uncharacterized. The record is from RefSeq and is a predicted model, not a curated record. The transcript is spliced from 3 exons. NCBI's taxonomy places the organism in Eukaryota, Metazoa, Chordata, Actinopteri, Cichliformes, Cichlidae.